GGUGCAAUAUUUUUGCAACGUUCUCUCGUGCAUUCUAUCUUCUCCUUCCCUCGCCAAGCUGAUGGUUUUGAUCUUUCAAACUUCCCUCAUUUUCUGUGAACUUUUAUUCGUUGUUAUUUUCCCCCCAAUUUGUGCAUGCAUUUUUUGGCGCUGUACCGGGGGAUUUUGGAGUUCAUAGUGAUGGCUGCUGAUACUUAGUCCCUUGAAAUCCUUCCUCAUCGUCCAUUACUUGGCGAAGAUGAGAAGGGUGGGUUUGUUUGUUUAUAUCGAGAGGCUAAAAAUGGGUUAGAAUUUUUGAAGCAUAUAAGGAUUCAGCGAAUAAAUUCAGUAACUGUGACUGAUAGUGGAUAUGUUACAAACACAAUGCAUAGAAGUGGAGGAGAUGCUUUAAGAACUUCAACAUCGUGUGAUCCUUCGCCGUUCAUCAUCCGUUUCCAAAAACGGAGGGUACUGCGUGGAUCAGAAGAGGAAACUCUACACUUUUAGUAGAUCAGAUCGUCGUUUCGGAGAGUUUCGGGUUUUCCCAAGAAUCGAGGUUUUCAGGAUCUCGAGUUGUCGUUUUGGACCGUUUUCGUACGAAAUUUCAUUUCGAAUAUAAGGUCCAUCCGUGCGUCGGUCCUAGUAGAUAAAAGGACUAGGGAGGUUAUUUUGGUUAGCUUACGUAAGCAUCUAAAUUUUUGUACUAAACUUGAUGAAAGUCAUUUUUGGAGGGUUGUAAUAUGUCGAUUACUCUAAGUCCGAAUGUAUGUAAAUUAUGGAUGUAUUUGUGAACUCUGGUAUAAGGCUAGUAGUAAUCCCAAUGGAUGUUUAUGUUUUUCCGCGACAUUUACAUCAUGAUUAUGUAUGUUUUACACCCGUAUGUCCCUGUUUAGGACGGGUUGUUUCCAUAUCUUGAACAGGUAUAGGUAUUUGAUGUAUGUGAGUGACACCUGAGUCCGUGUAAAGGGCCGGGUCGUUACAGAGAGGUGUUUUGGGAUCCUUUGUCUUAUCUGAAAGGAUAAGCGCUCAAACUUCAAGAUAUGGUAAUGUCCCUUCCAAGUGUUUGCAUGCAAUGAAUUGAAAUUAUUCGUCUAUUGGUAUUU
This is a long non-coding RNA of Malania oleifera, 1082 nucleotides long. RefSeq lists it as uncharacterized. The record is from RefSeq and is a predicted model, not a curated record. The transcript has 5 exons. NCBI's taxonomy places the organism in Eukaryota, Viridiplantae, Streptophyta, Magnoliopsida, Santalales, Ximeniaceae.